Molecule: non-coding RNA, 881 nt
Organism: Pelobates cultripes (western spadefoot toad)
Lineage: Eukaryota; Metazoa; Chordata; Amphibia; Anura; Pelobatidae
Source: the annotation of a GenBank genome assembly
AUGUCAACAACCAGGAGGUACCUCAGCUCACAUAUGGUGGCUAUGCCCUGAAAUCCAAACAUACUGGAAACUGUGGUGGCAAUAAGUGGUGACUGGAAUAAGCUUACAACAGACCCUAUUGUUUCUCUUGAGCCCUUGUCUGCUGCCCAAAACCCAACAAAAACCUUGAUUCUCCACUUAACCGCAGCUAAUCUACUAAUUCCGGAUAAGUGGAAGGCUGCAAUGCUCCCAUCACCUAGAGAAUGGAUACAGAGGGUGUGAGAGUGGCCUCAUAUGCCACUACAUGGGAACCUUGGGUGACCUUCAUGAGACACAAUUCUACAACACUGUCUACCUAACCACUUGGUUCUUUGGUUAACUCUUUUUACACCCCUCCUCCCCCCUUUCCUUCCUUCUUUAGCCAACAAGAUAACUGUACGGCCCUCGGCGGGAGAAGGGACAGGCUGGUACCGAGCACUCUGACAUGACCUCUAAGUCAGGGAUAAUUUUUAAUUUUGAUUUGUUUCGUUCUUUAUGAAACAUGACUCUCACUGUGUUAUUCCUACAUGUACCAUGGAAUCCUGUUUAUUGUGUGUACUGUUUUUACUUAACCAUUUCUCGGACAUGAGAAGAGUAGAGAUGGGUAGACCACAAAACAGCACAUGACAAAAACAAUCAUGACAAACAAUGUAGAGUCUACCAUGUAACCGACUCAUAAGUGUUGAUACCAGUCUACGCAGGAUUUGAAUGAGGGGUAACGGAGGCUGGAGUCAUAAACAAAUUUUCCAUUCAAGUAGGCACUAUACCUUUAAUAGCCAGCUGUGCCCUACAUUUUCAGCCAAAUGUUUCAUUGUAUAUGUAAUAUGGUGUUUCUGCCACUACUUUGUAACCAAUGUAUACAU